GAGCUGGGUGUCGAUCGACAGGG
This 23-nucleotide non-coding RNA is filed under the name Arabidopsis thaliana (thale cress). Lineage: Eukaryota; Viridiplantae; Streptophyta; Magnoliopsida; Brassicales; Brassicaceae. The record is from RNAcentral.